CAGAGGUGGCAAGCGUUGUUCGGAAUUACUGGGCGUAAAGGGCGCGUAGGCGGUUCGGUAAGUCCCGUGUGAAAUCCCUCGGCUCAACUGAGGAACUGCACGGGAAACUGCCGGGCUUGAGUUCGGGAGAGGGAAGCGGAAUUCCGGGUGUAGCGGUGAAAUGCGUAGAUAUCCGGAGGAACACCGGUGGCGAAGGCGGCUUCCUGGACCGACACUGACGCUGAGGCGCGAAAGCUAGGGGAGCAAACGGGAUUAGAUACCCCGGUAGUCCUAGCUGUAAACGAUGAGUGCUGGGUGUAGGAGGUAUCAACCCCUCCUGUGCCGAAGCUAACGCAUUAAGCACUCCGCCUGGGGAGUACGGUCGCAAGGCUG
Molecule: ribosomal RNA, 372 nt
Filed under: uncultured organism
Description: bacterial SSU rRNA
Rfam family: Bacterial small subunit ribosomal RNA
Source: RNAcentral